Papaver somniferum (opium poppy) is the source of this 1151-nucleotide long non-coding RNA. RefSeq lists it as uncharacterized. The transcript has 5 exons. The record is from RefSeq and is a predicted model, not a curated record. Lineage: Eukaryota; Viridiplantae; Streptophyta; Magnoliopsida; Ranunculales; Papaveraceae.
UGGAAAGGAAGAAGAUGUCGUGGUGUUGGUGUUGUUAAAUUGAAGUAGAAUUUAGGGGUUGAAGUCAGAUUCAAGAUUGUGGUUGUGCUUCAAAUAGGGGUUUGAUAGUUGUAGGAAUUGAAACAAAAAAUUGAGCUUCGGUUACAGCAGUUGAUGCUGAGUUAAAUGUGAGAGAUGAAGAUCGAGGGAGAUCUAAAUUUUUGCCGAGAAACAGAUAAAGAAGUCUACACUGCUUUUGGUUGUCUAGAUCUCUAUUAUUUGAUUAUAUUAUUGUGGUUUAUGCAGAGAAUCGAAAGUUUGUUAGGCCCUGAAGACAACAAGUCAAGAACAUUGAAUUAUGGGUUUGUUUUGAAUUCGUAAGUAAUUGCAAGGAAGGAGAUGAGACAGGGUUAGAAGAGCAUAUCAAUUCAUCUUUGCUGAUAUCAAUUCGUGCACACAACUUGUUUGAGGAAAUUCUUGAGUGCUAGACACUGGUGUGCAAGUAUACACCAGCUAGACAUUCGAUCUAUCAUUACUAUGUGCAAGAAAAAUUAUUACCGGAUGGAAGAUCAACAAAGUAAGAGCAAUGUCAGGACUCCAAUACCUUAGCUACGUACUAGGAUAACAUCAAAUCCCGUAUUUUAGCUAACACUGUACAGAAUGCUAACAUGUCCACCAAGCAGCUGUUGUCCCUAAAGAGAGAAAGGAAUAUGCAAGCUAAUGAAGAUAAGGAAUGGCUCUGGGCCGAACUUCAGGGUUCAGUCAUAAUACAUUAACGUUAUAAAAAACCUACCCUCUUUGUUGCUCGUUGAAAAUUUAGGAACAACAAAGCUAAAUGAAAGAAAUUUCACUAAACAUCCAACGAUAGAGAUACAAAUCCUCUUGCAGAAAAACCCAGUGUGUUAAUUGAAGGGGACUAGAGGAUCAUAUGAAAUUUAGGAUAGUGAAGAGCAUCAGGAACUUUCUGAUCGCAAUGUCAAGAGUUGGAACCGCCACCAACAAGUGAAACACACAAUGGACAUGAAGAACUACUUUCGAAGCAAAGCUGAUAUGGUAAUGUUGAUGGUGGUUUUUAGCUUAGGGUUAAAAUCGUAAAACCUUACAUCUGACAUGACGUCACUAGGACCACUAGCGCAUUUAUUGAAUCAUUCAACACGCCUACGUAAGAAUUA